GAGAUGUUUUCUAUAGAGAUGUUGUCUAUAGAAAUGUUGUCUAUAGAGAUGUUGUCAACAGAGAUGUUGUCAACAGAGAUGUUUUUAACACAUAUAUUUUUAAAAGAGAUGUAGUAAUUAAUCUUCAUUGAAAAUGCUGCACCAAACCUGUAAUACAAAAGUCUUGUCAACCAUGAAAAAAUUGCUGCUGGCGUUAAGCCAUGACCAUCGUCAUAGCAUGCAUCAUCAAUACUAAAAACAAAUUAAAAUUUAUUUUAAACUAAAUUGCUGCCUGUAAAACGAAUCAUCUUCAAUUAUACUGACACUUUUUGUUUCACUGUUUCUUGGAUGUACUGAAAGUCAGCAAUGUCACCCGAGCCACCAAUUACAGUGUUCUUGUUCACCUUCAUAAGACGUGAGAGUUGUCUGAAGCGUGCCAAUGAGCCAUAGGAGCCUAAAAUGAAGAAAUGCAAAUAAGCUUCAUUCUUAGCAAUUCAAUUACACUGGAAGACAGCUCACCUAAGGUGUCUGCUGCUAAAGCAACUCCUCCAUUGAAGCAAAUCCCAAGAACUGAUGUUCCCUGAGUAACUGGAUACCUAAUGAAGAAAAAUGGCUUUCGUUUAAGUAAGGCGGCACUCUACAUCAUUUGUAAAAUAUAUAUAAAAUGUCGGUCCAUAAACUGAGAGAAAAUGAAAAAUGUCUGGUCCAGGUGAAAUUGAAGGAAAGGUAAUUAAAAAGUCAGCCUCAGAUCACAGAAUGUCUGAGCCCCAUAUUAUAUAUUUCACUCUUGAGUUUUAAGGAUCUUUACAUUUGGGUAAAACAAAAUUGCAAAAAAAUUUCUCUCAUUUUUGCCAUGCUCGUGUAAUUUGGUUCAGUCGUGACGUCACAAGCUAGCCACAAUAGAAACUGAACGUACGUACGCAAGAAACAAGAAUUUUAUUACUUUAUAGAAGGUAAAAACAAGGCAUUAUGCGUCAGUGUAAAAUUAUAAUUGAUAUCACUUGAAAGUAAAAUUUGUUUAGAAAAUAAACAUUAAAAUUUCACAACGAAAUAUCUUAAUAAAUUUAUCAGUAGACAAUAGACAGUAAUAUUAUCAGAAAACAUUAGUUAAA
Long non-coding RNA from Xenia sp. Carnegie-2017, 1091 nucleotides. RefSeq lists it as uncharacterized. Lineage: Eukaryota; Metazoa; Cnidaria; Anthozoa; Malacalcyonacea; Xeniidae. The transcript is spliced from 2 exons. The record is from RefSeq and is a predicted model, not a curated record.